UGAGAUGUGUUCUAACGAAGUUCUUCUAGGA
Molecule: non-coding RNA, 31 nt
Filed under: Mus musculus (house mouse)
Lineage: Eukaryota; Metazoa; Chordata; Mammalia; Rodentia; Muridae
Source: RNAcentral